This 31-nucleotide non-coding RNA is filed under the name Homo sapiens (human). The record is from RNAcentral. Lineage: Eukaryota; Metazoa; Chordata; Mammalia; Primates; Hominidae.
UGCCCUCCCAGGAAGGAGCAGACCCAUUGUG